Molecule: long non-coding RNA, 7954 nt
Filed under: Sus scrofa (pig)
Lineage: Eukaryota; Metazoa; Chordata; Mammalia; Artiodactyla; Suidae
Description: lncRNA (ENSSSCG00015060223.1)
Source: RNAcentral
AACUUUAGGCUUUAGCAAUAUAAAAAUACAGCCUUUGAUGCAGACACAGGCCUUGAUCUGAGUCUCAGUUUCCUUAUCUCUGUAAAUAGGGAUGUUAUGAGAAGGAGAAGUAAAUAAUGUUUAGCAAGCACUUUGAUAUUUAUGACCAGUGGCUGUAAACAGUUAUUAAAAAGUCAUUGAACAGGUCAGAAUGGCAGGUGCAGUGGUGUGGCCAGAGCGAGCCAGAAAAGCAGGAUCUUUCUGCCUCUGGAGAAAGAGAUACAUGUGAAAAUGUUCUAUUCCUGAUUAAACAUUUUAUUUUUAAAUGUUUACAGUUAAGAGUUAGGAUUCCACUAGCAUCCAUGAGGAUGUGGGUUUGAUCCCUAGCCUUGCUCAGUGGAUUAAAGGAUCCGGCGUUGCAGUGAACUGUGAUGAAGGUUGCAGACGCAGCUUGGAUCCACUGUUGCUGUGGCUGUGGUGUAGGCCGGCGGCUAUAGCUCCGAUUGGACCCCUAUCCUGGGAACCUCCAUAUGCCAUGGGCGCGGCCUUAAAAAGGCAAAAGACCAAAAAAAAAAAAAAAAUUUCCAUUGGUAGAUUUUUGUAUAUUUCAAAAUAUACAAGAAACUCUGUAGUUCAGUUUUUGAAUACAGAUAAGUUGAUUCUUUCUCUCUCCUUUCUGACUUUAUUUUAUUUUUUUGUUUUAUGGUCACAACUGCUUUUGCGGCAACACCGGAUCCUCAGCCCACUGAACAAGACUAGGGAUCAAACUCACAUCCUUACAGAGACAAUGUCGGGUCCUUAACCUGCUGAGCCACAAUGGGAACUCUGAUUAUUUCUGUAUAUACAGUGGCAUGGAUUCUGAUUUUCCCACAGUAAAGGUAACUCUUGGAAAAGACAGCAAGUGCUGUAGUUCUUUGUACAGGAAAAGUGAGGAUGUCUUGAGAGUUGCACUUUGGAGUGUGGAGUGGAUGGUUGGACGAGGAGCUCUGGUUGUACCCUCUCUGGCCCCAGUUCUGCCUCUGCUAGCUGCCUGUGUGAACCUGGAGUCACUUUUGCUCCAUCCUUUGGCUCUAUUUGACCUUAGACAGAUCACCUGGAUUUUUUUGGCUUCACCUAUUUAGAAAAUUUUGAGGGUGUUAGAGAAACCCCUUUUGAGUCCUAGUGAAUAUUAAUAGUAAAAUCUGUGAUUUGGAGAGUAGUAGCAGAAGUUACUAUGCAAAAUAAGUUGGCAUUUAUCAGAGAGUGAUUUGCUUUGUGAGAGCAAUUUGAUGCUUGUACUGGAUUUAGUAGUUUACUGCUAAAACAGAUCGAAAUUAUGAGUGAUUCAUCAUUUUAAUAGGAUUUUACAAGGUACUUGGAAUGAACCCAAGCAUUCUAUGUAUUUCUGUAAGUUAAGGCUUAGUUGCUAUCAGACUGCUGCUUUUAACUGUUUUCGUGCUGACUGGGCUUGUAGCCCCCUCUCCUCAUGGAGGGAAGAAAGUACACAUCAGCUAGUGGUUGGGUGCAUGUGCUGGUAAGCCAAGGGUCCUUCUUAAAAAUGCUUUGAAAUUUCAUCUGGAUGAAAAAUCACAUUUCUAAAUUUGAAGACGACUUCUGAGCAGAGAAAAACUUUAUAAAGCAUGCAUGGCACAUUUACAAAUGUUUUGAAAAAACUGACUGUGAUUUGGUGUGAUUAUUUGUCCCUGUAUCCCCAUAUGUCACACAUUGCCUUUUUACCCCGGGGAGUAACCAUAUUGCAUUAUUUGUGAUCCUUUGGAGUUGUAUGAAAUGAUAAUUUAACUUUUCAGAUGUGGUUAAUCCACGGGCCCGCUUCCUAACUAUUAACAUGCACGGCAUGACAGGCCUAACUGUUUCCAGGUGUGAUUGGGGGCUGCGGACGGUAAAUUACUCUAGAUUAUCUUGGCCACUGUAAUUUACUGCAAAACUGCACCUUUGGCAUCAGCGGUUGAAGAGAGCAUGUUAACAUUAACUCCACUUGAGAUACAUUUUACAUGAAAUAAGCUAAUUGCCUUUUUGGAGACGAUUAAGUGUUUAUAUUUUAUAAUCCUCUUUGGAACUCUGUCUUGUCUUUUGCAUAGCUGAGGUUGUGUUAGUAAGCAGACCUUGAUUGAUGCGCUCUGGGUGUGUUUUGUGAGACCUCCUGCAGUUCAGGAGUUCUCUGUGCUCUUCUGCUGCUUUUCUCCCCUCAGUCCCACAUUUUUUUUUGUUUUUGUUUUUGGUCUUUUUGCCAUUUCUUGGGCUGUUCCUGCGGCAUAUGGAGGUUCCCAGGCUAGGGGUCCAAUCGGAGCUGUAGCCACCAGCCUAUGCCAGAGCCACAGUAACUUGGGAUCCAAGCCGCGUCUGCAACCUACACUGCAGCUCAUGGCAAUGCCGGAUCCUUAACCCACCGAGCAAGGCCAGGGAUCGAACCCGCAACCUCAUGGUUCCCAGUCGGAUUUAUUAACCACUGAACCACGACGGGAACUCCUCGCCUCAGUCCCACUUUGCUCCUCGCCCUGGUCCAGAGAACAGCCAUGCUCUGACCCCCACCCUGGCCCAUCUCUGUUCCUGGAAUGAAGUCUCAUCUGCCUCCAAAAAAGACUCAGCCCUGAUCAAGGCCUAAGAGGCCCCUUUAACUCUCUCACCAUUGUUUUUAGCAGCAGAAAUCCUCAGAGGUCUGGAGGGCUUGUAGUUAGGAAGACACAGAUAGGUGAGGUCUGUUUUGUAGCUGGCCAGAGGCAGAGUGAGAUUCUGGGCAAAUCUGGCCAGUGAGGUGCCAUGAAGGAGGCUGCAGACUGGCCCUGGACACUGGUCACACACUGGUUAGCCCCGGCUCACUGUUCGCCUCAAGCUCAGCAGUUCCUAUGCUUGGCCUGGUCUGUAGCCACGCUCAGUCCUUCCCCACCAAUUCCUGUCCCAUUAUCUCUCCUGGAACAUCUCCUGUGUCCCCAGCAGGCCUUCUCUGCGGGGAGACACGACAUUGUCCUCCUAGGGUCCAGCGGUGGGCAGGCCUCUGCUGAUUUUCUUUUUUUUCCUCUCUUUUUUUCUUUUUAGGGCUGCACCUGUAGCAUAUGGAAGUUUCUAGGCUAGGGAUGGAAUCAGAGCUGUAGCUGCUGGCCUCACCCAGGCCACAGCCGCAGCAACACCAGAUCUGAGCUGGUCUGCAACUUACACCAUAGCUCAGGGCAGCAACGGAUCCUUUAACCUGCUGAGCAAGGCCAGGGAUCGAACCAAUGUCCUCAUGGAUACUAGUUAGGUUUGUUACUGCUGAGCCAUGAGGGGAACUCUGAGGUUGAUUUUCUUAUUGGAAUGCUUUGACUCACUCCUGGAGCUUUGACACAGCUGUAGAUGUGCGCUAGUGCUAUACCAAUAAAAUGUGUGGAUUAAAAAGACCCUUGUUGCUUCUCUGAGGCAGCCAUUGAUACCACUGUUGGUAGGAGAGACUGUCCCAGGUUCCAAUCACUCUAAUAUGGGUUUUGAAAACAUUUUUUUUCUAGGAAGAUUACUUCUCCUGGCACUCAAAAAGACUCCGAUUCUUUUGUCCUCAGUGAUUUACACUGGUCCCCUUUUAAUGUGUCCCUGUAAAUCACUACUGUUCUUAGAGUUUGGGAAUUAUCUUUGAGAUGGUGAUUGUAUGGUAAGAGUCAUCCAAUAUUUUGUUAUUUGUGGCAUUCUGGAAGUGUGUUACGUAUGACAGAGUGAUAAGGACCAGAAAGGGCAGAAAUAGAAACUUUACACUGAUUUCAUUUAAGAAAACAUAAAUUUUAAAGGAACAUUUGAUCUGAGGCAUUGAAUAAACUUCAGUUCUGCUAGCCACUUUGUCCUUUGAAAAUUGUUUACCAACCUGUGGGAUUAUAACUAGAGGCAUUUGCUAAUGUAUUUGCAGUGACUGCUGAAAUAAUUCAAAUUUAUUGACCAUGGUAGGAUAUUAAAUAUUUAUCUUUUCUGCUUAGUGCCUGUAGUGAAAUAGCAUAUAAGUUAAUGGUUAAUGGCUUAUAGGCUAUUAUUUCUGAAAUACUAUCUUCAUGUACUUUAUCCAGUGACAUUACUUUUAUUUUGCGUGUGUUACAAAGCAUAUUUGGAAUCUCUCUUACAUAAAUUUUGCUCUUAGCUAAACAAUAUUCCAGAAGAGAUUUUUAACUGUAAAGUGUGUGUGUGUGUGCAUAAUAACUGCAAAGAGAGAAAAGUAUGUUAAGUUGUGGGAUGAGGAGAAAUCUGUCUUUAAAAAAAAAUCCAAUAGAAUGAAAUCAUAAUUUAUUAAUAUUACUAUGUGUGUGUUUUGGCACAUCUGCAAUGUCCACUGUAUUCUAGAAUGUUAAAAGGUUGGCAGUUAAUUCAGCAUAUGAGAAUCUAGCAAUCAUAUUAGGUUAAUGUUAGGAUGAUUAAAAUGUAUUUAUAGGUAUAGAUCAGAGAAAGAAGCUAACUUAUUUAGGUUUCCUUCAAAGUAAUGAUAAUGUAAUAUUAAAACUCAAAACGUCUUAACAUGAAAGUAAUUCUAUUUGCAUUGGUGUAAAUAUUGGGAGGAACAUAAAGCAGUAUUGGCAAGUGUUAAAUUUCAAGUGAAAUAAUUUAUAGAGUUAUUUUCAAUUUUCUGAAAACUAGAUCUUCAAAACUGACUUAAAAAAGAUAAUCAGAGAAGCUCUGAUUUUCUACAAGCCCUAAGGGACUGUUUGAGGAGUUUUUGUUUUGUUUUGCUAUUACAUUAGUUUUCAAGAUCCUGAAAAUGACUAUAUUAGUGUGGCUAAUUAAAAAAUUUAGAUAUUUUGAAUUUUAGGAUUACAGGGAACUUAACUGUUGUUAGUUUGUCAAAAACACAAAUCAUUUAGAAAAGGUUGGCUGGUUGAAUAAUUACUUCUGUAUGUGAUAUUGUUUUAUGUGCACAAUCAGGUAUAUUAUUGAGUUCCAUAGUAGUUAAUAUAACAACAAACUUAAAAAAAAAUGCUUCAAAUCCUACCAUCAUUCCAAAGAAAUUGUUAAUUUUUUUGAGAGAGAAGAAUUCUAGGAGCUUUUAUCAAUUUUGCCUUGGAAGUCACAGUCACAGAAAGAGAUCUGUUCUGAAUUAUAAGUAUUUGUAUACUUGAAGUGUAACAUUUGCACAAAACACAUUGGGAAGACAACAUGGUAUUGACCAUGAAUGCAUAUGAGUACUGGAAAGUUUGGCCUAAGGUGUUUCUUUUGUCCUUUAUAUAUCUGCCAGGGUUGUGGAAAAUCUUAGAGCUUACUCUCCAUACUCUGUUUUACCAGAGGUUAGAAUUCACUAAUUAAAAGACUAUAAACAAGGGUGAAGCCAGCAAGUAAUAUUACAAGUAAUAAAUAGAAACAUUUAUGAAUAAUAUCUGUUUUCUUAUCUUUGUUUAAAUAAUAUUCAUUAGGGAGUUCCCAUUGUGGUGCAUAGGAAACAAACCCGACUAGUGUCUAUGAGGAUGCGGGUUUGAGCCCUGGUCUCGCUCAGUGGGCUAAUGAUCCAGCAUUGCCCUGAGUGGUGGUGUAGGUUGCAGACACAGCUUAGAUCGACUUUGCUGUGGCUGUGGUGUAGUUCUGAUUUGACCCCUAGUCCAGAAACUUCUAUGUGCUGCACGUGUGGCCCUAAACAGACCCCCCCCCCCCAAAAAAAAAUCAUUGGUAUUUAACAAAUCAAUGAGGAUGCUUUUUUUUCCUGGGCAUGCAUCAUUACAGACAGUUUUGCUGACUUUUUAGUGAUGGAUACUUUGAUUUGUGCUUGGUAUACGGUAUACGGAGAAACAUACACAUUGAGAGACUGGUUGAGGUACUAGGACUUAAUUGUACCUUGGCAGUAGUAUUCAUUUUCAUAGCACUACAUGUUCAUUUUACAAACACCUGUAUAGUGCUUACUAGGGGCAAGCAUUGUUCUAAGUGCUUCAAUAAUAUUUCCUCAUUUACCUAAACCCUGACAACAGCCUCUGGUUUCUGGUGGGUAUGAUUAUUACCCCAUUUUGCAGAUGGUCCCUGGUGUGGACUGGUCAAAUCUCGGAUGUCUGCCUCUGCAGUUUGUGCUCUUACUCAGUGUCCUCUGCUCCUGUGAAGAAAGCUCUUUCUCAGAAAGCUGGGUUGGAAUUCUUUCCUUUGUCAGAUCCCUUCCUCCCAUGGUCUUGCUGACCAGACAAAGAGCCCUGGGCAGGGUGUGCUGGCAGGAGUUCUUACCGUCUCGUUCUUCUAGAUGUCUGGGAGGCAGGCAGUGUGACAGCUUCUGACCAUGAGUGGCCCUGAUCUGACUUUGGGAGCAGUUGUUCGUAAAUCUUUGUCCUACAGUAGGAACUUUCCGUAUCAAGAAUGAAUUCUACCCUCUCAUCCCAGAGAUCUAGGGCAAAGAGUGAGAGCUGUGUCUAAGUUCAUGGUUGAAACUCGGAACAUGGAAGAAGAAGAGAGAGGCAGUACUGUUACUUGAUGGAAAAUCUGAGCCUCACGUUGAAUAUGACAAGUGCUAGUGUUAGAGGAACUACUUUUCUCAAGGAAAAAAACAUGUAGCAUGUUUCUUUGCUACAUGCUCCAGGAUGAGCAGUAGUGGGCUCAUUUGUUUCUGAUUUUGUGUGUGUGUGUGUGUGCGCAUGCAGGCGCGCGCACGCGUGUGCACACGUGCGUGUGUGUAUGCUCAUGCUCGUGUAUACACAUAGUAGACAUUACUCUUAAAGUCCCUAUUUGGUCCAUACCAUGUGUUAAAAAAUAUUUACAAGUUUUUGUUAGCACUAAACAGUAAUGUGUGAGUAGCUCCUGGUCCGUGGCAUCAGUAUUUUUAAGGAGCACUUGUCUCUGAGUUUGAGCUGCUUUGUAAGGUAACUUUCUUCCUUUGGAGGUACCUUGUUCUCUUUCCUCACAGCCCCUCAGGAGUGACUCGAGUUUUCUCAAAACCACAAACACUAUUCAUAGUAGCCAAAAGAUGGAAACAACUCAGUGUCUACUGAGGAUGAAUAAAUAAAUGAAGUGUGAUCUCUGCAUGCAGUGGAAUACUAUUCAGCCUUGAAAAAGGAAGGAAAUUCUGACAACAUUGAUAAAUCUCGAGAACACCAGUAUGUUGAAUGAAAUAAGCCAGUCACAAACAGCUUAUAUACUUCAGGAUUACACGCAGGUGACGUACUUAGAGUAAAUUCAUAGAGUCAGAAAGUAGAAUGGUGAUUGCCGGGGAUGAAAGGCUGUGAGGAAUGAAAAUGGGGAAUUACCGUUUAAUGACUAGAGGGUUUCAGUUUUGUAAGGGCAAGAAUUCUGGAAGAUGGUUGCACAACCAUUUGAAUGCCCUUAUCACUGUUCAUCUGUAUGUGUAAAAGUGGUUAAGACGGCAAAAUUUAUGUUUAAAUUAAAACAACAACAACAAACCUUUCAGAUUUAGUGUAAAAUCUGUUCAGCUGUUGUAGUGUAAUGUUUUCAUUGACAGACACUUGCUGGUAGCAGCUGGCUCUACACUGGUUGAGAGCAGCUGGCUCAGCUCUCCUUUCUAGGGAACAGGUAUUAUGGUUCGAGUGUGAAUGUGUUACAUUCUGGAGAAAAGCUUAUUGUGGACACUGAAAGAAGGAGUAAGCACACAUGGGGGCAGUGUUCGCAGAGCUCAUGGAGACAGGAGCGAGGUGAAAAUGACCUUGGUUUACGUGGGUAGAGAGAACUGAUGUGACCAAAACAAGUGUAUUAAGUGCUGUCCACAGUCUUGAUUUUUAAAAGCUUUCACUUUUUGAUAAGUUUUUUGUCAUUUUGCUUAUAUUUUACUUCUUACCACGUCUGCCAGGUUGAGUGUUUAAUAGCUUCUGCCAGGGAUUCAGAUACAUUCCAUUUAUUGGUAUUUAUUAUAACAAGUGUUUUCAAGAAAGGUACUGUUGGAGUUCCCGCUGUGGUAUAGUAGGCUAAGGAUCCAGUGUUAAUUUUGCAGCAGCUUGUUUCUCUGCUGAGACAUGGGUUUGAUCCCUCGCCUGGUGCAUUAGGUUAAGGAUCCAGCAUUCCUGCAGCUGCGGCUUGUAUUCAGUCCCUGGCCUGGGAACUACUUCCAUAUGCU